GCGAUUUAUUUUCAUAUGUUAUAUGGUGAUCUACAACAUCAUCAUUAACAAUUUGAGCAGAGCCACAUUUUUCUGGAACCCUAAGCGCCGCAUUCGAAUAGAGAAGAAACAGGAGGUUGCAAAUUAACUACUUCAACCAAAUUGAAC
This is a long non-coding RNA of Erigeron canadensis, 147 nucleotides long. RefSeq lists it as uncharacterized. NCBI's taxonomy places the organism in Eukaryota, Viridiplantae, Streptophyta, Magnoliopsida, Asterales, Asteraceae. The transcript has 3 exons. The record is from RefSeq and is a predicted model, not a curated record.